UACAGAGGUCUCAAGCGUUGUUCGGAUUCAUUGGGCGUAAAGGGUGCGUAGGCGGCGGGGCAAGUCAGGUGUGAAAUCCCGGGGCUCAACCCUGGAACUGCACUUGAUACUGCUUUGCUAGAGUACUGGAGAGGAGACUGGAAUUCCAGGUGAUAGCGGUGAAAUGCGUAGAUAUCUGGAGGAACACCGGUGGCGAAGGCGGCAUCCUGGACCAACACUGACACUGAGGAGCGAAAGCCAGGGGAGCAAACGGG
RNAcentral lists this ribosomal RNA (254 nucleotides) under uncultured bacterium. Its description in RNAcentral is "partial 16S ribosomal RNA". It matches the Rfam family "Bacterial small subunit ribosomal RNA", at positions 524 to 776 of the family's 1533-position model. The record is from RNAcentral.